GUAGGUGGCAAGCGUUGUCCGGAAUUAUUGGGCGUAAAGCGCGCGCAGGCGGUUCUUUAAGUCUGAUGUGAAAGCCCACGGGCUCAACCGUGGAGGGUCAUUGGAAACUGGAGAACUUGAGUACAGAAGAGGAAAGCGGAAUUCCACGUGUAGCGGUGAAAUGCGUAGAGAUGUGGAGGAACACCAGUGGCGAAGGCGGCUUUCUGGUCUGUAACCGACGCUGAGGCGCGAAAGCGUGGGGAGCAAACAGGAUUAGAUACCCUGGUAGUCCACGCCGUAAACGAUGAGUGCUAAGUGUUAGGGGGUUUCCGCCCCUUAGUGCUGCAGCUAACGCAUUAAGCACUCCGCCUGGGGAGUACGGCCGCAAAGGCUG
RNAcentral lists this ribosomal RNA (373 nucleotides) under uncultured organism. RNAcentral's name for it is "partial 16S ribosomal RNA". It matches the Rfam family "Bacterial small subunit ribosomal RNA", at positions 527 to 896 of the family's 1533-position model. The record is from RNAcentral.